This 271-nucleotide ribosomal RNA is filed under the name uncultured bacterium. RNAcentral's name for it is "partial 16S ribosomal RNA". It matches the Rfam family "Archaeal small subunit ribosomal RNA", at positions 474 to 745 of the family's 1478-position model. The record is from RNAcentral.
UACCCGCGGUCCAAGUCGCAGCCACAAUUAUUGGGUCUAAAACAUCCGUAGCUUGUUUUGCAAGUUCCGUGUGAAAUCUCACAUCUCAAGUGUGAGGCAGGCAUGGAAGACUGCAUUGCUCGAGACUGGGAGACGUGUAGAGUAUGGUAAGGGUAACGGUAAAAUGUUUUAAUCUUUAUCAGACUAACAACAGCGAAGGCACUACACGAGAACAGUUCUGACAGUGAGGAUGAAGGCUCGGGGCGCAAAAGGGAUUAGAAACCCGUGUAGU